Molecule: long non-coding RNA, 2029 nt
Filed under: Manihot esculenta (cassava)
Lineage: Eukaryota; Viridiplantae; Streptophyta; Magnoliopsida; Malpighiales; Euphorbiaceae
Description: long non-coding RNA (MESC_LNC002503)
Source: RNAcentral
AUAAAUCCUACUAUUUUUUUUAUAAAUCAACUAUAAUUUUUAAUUAUAUCCAAAUUUUAGAUUGAAUGACCAAAUGCAUACAAGAAAAUUCAGUCGUUGUUUGAACCCAGAUGAGUAAACAAUGGCAUGAAUCUGGAUGAUCCAAACAACUUUUUCAACUCAGAGGCCCUUCAAUUAGUCUCGGCAUGGAAUAUGGAUCUCCUCUCCAAAUGUAGUCAAAUUUUUUAUAGGUAGACUAAUUGACAUCUUCGUUUAAAGUUUCAGUAACCAAUACUCGGGAGUUGAUGAAUCACAAGAAGCAAACAAUCUCUACUCUCAUCAAUGUAAGAUUUGAUGGUAUCCAUCCACUUAUUUCUAAUUAGUUCUUCCUUUGUUCUUCGUAUUUUCAUGCAAGAGAGCUGGCCUUUCAUCGUUUAUACCCCUUGUAUCCAAGAAUUGAUAGAAUUUUCUUAUAAUGAAGCUUGCAGUUCAUCAUUCAAUACACUGUAAACAAUUAAAAAUCAGAAAGGUAGCAGGCACAAAAACAAAACGACAGAAGAAAGCAACAUAUUAUCAAAAAAAAAAACCAUAUGCAGCCAUUUGGAUGCUCAUAAAAUAUAACCAAAACUUAAAAAUCCGAAAUGCUGCUCUCUGGCUAGGGAAAAAAAAGGUUAGAUUCAUUUAGCAGAGUUUCCAUUUUUUUCAUGCAAAUAACAUCUCAAGCAUUUCUCCUUUUAUUUCAGUUUUCCCAGUAAAUUAAAUGGCACAUCUAAAAUAAAUCAGUAAAUUAUCAUACUUGAAGUCAGGACAUCUUCUCGUUCUCGCUUGUGCCUGUCAAAAGCUUUGCAAUUUCAAUGGAAUUUGACCAAGUUUAGUACAUGAUCUCUAAGGAACCGUCAUUACCCUUAGAGAUACUAACAAUGAAAGUAAUGUGAAACUGCAUAUUGACAUUACUGUAUCACUAGAUAUUGGACUUGGAAUUCUUCCAUCAAACAAUGUUGCUUCUACCUUAAUCUUCUCAUUCCUUGCAAAUUUCUUUUUUAACAAAAUUCAUUAAUUCCCCGGCUGGUCAUUGAUCUUGGUAGCAAGUUCAAAUCAUUGAAUGUGACAUGCAUUAUGCCAGAAUCAUUAGUCAACUUAACCAAUUGGCCCUUUUAAACAUUUGAAAAUGCAUUCUCUCAAACAAACAAGCUAUAAUAGCUGGGAAAGAAAAAGGCUGGAAAAUAAUAUCAAGAUUGGAAAUUUCAGCUCAAAUCAGCAAUGCCAUUUAAUUCCAUCACGAGUCAAGGAAUCUUGAUUUCAACAGCAAUUAAUUUUUUUAUCCAAUUUAAGUGCUUUUAUAAUCACAAUCCCAGGAACAAAAUAGAGGGACAUUUUUUAUAAGCAUAAAAAAUUUUAUUAAUAGAAAUCCAAGAAAAACUUAACAUAUAGAGUCCACCUAAACCCGGCAUUCAAACGUCUCCAGACACACAACCUAGCACAAUGUAUGUUACAUGAAAAGACCUGGAGACCAGCAGAAACAUCAGAAGAUGACCAACAUAACCCAGCAAACCCAAAGCAAAAUAGAGGGACGGCUCCCAGUUAACAUUAAUACUACUGAAAUAAAAUGGUCUAACAAUCCUAUUAAGCCUUUACCAGAGAGCUCUUCCUACGCAAUUUUUCACUAUACAGCAUUUGUAGUUUGCUUCUGAUUCCAACCAACAUUGUGAUUCUUAAAUAAUGCAAACCCAGAAGCAGACUUAGAAUUCAAUGAAAACCCAUCUAAAAAAAUUUGGAUUUUAAAAAUUCAGCUCUCGAUCUCAUUCUUUCCAAUUGUUCUCAUCCACCACAGAUUAAGGAAAAAGAAAAAUUAAAUUCAAAACAUGCGGAGAUGAAUGAGGCCUUUAAAAGAAAGAAGGAAGAUUACUUGUUUUAGGAGUAUCACAUUGGAGCUCGUAUUGGAAGGAGUCUGAGGAUACUAUAUUCAAAGGCGGAUUUGGGCAUUGCUGAUACGUAACACAUUUCUGACUAGCGUUGUUCAGAACUUCAGUGGACUUCAGUAGGGUUUUAG